This 390-nucleotide ribosomal RNA is filed under the name uncultured Acidobacteriaceae bacterium. Its description in RNAcentral is "bacterial SSU rRNA". It matches the Rfam family "Bacterial small subunit ribosomal RNA", at positions 1059 to 1447 of the family's 1533-position model. The record is from RNAcentral. Lineage: Bacteria; Pseudomonadati; Acidobacteriota; Terriglobia; Terriglobales; Acidobacteriaceae.
CUCGUGUCGUGAGAUGUUGGGUUAAGUCCCGCAACGAGCGCAACCCUUGUCCUAUGUUGCCAGCGGGUAAUGCCGGGGACUCGUAGGAGACUGCCGGGGUCAACUCGGAGGAAGGUGGGGACGACGUCAAGUCAUCAUGCCCCUUAUGCCCAGGGCUGCAAACAUGCUACAAUGGCCGGUACAGAGGGCUGCUAUACCGCGAGGUUGAGCGAAUCCCACAAAGCCGGUCUCAGUUCGGAUUGGAGUCUGCAACUCGACUCCAUGAAGGCGGAGUCGCUAGUAAUCCCGGAUCAGCAACGCCGGGGUGAAUACGUUCCCGGGCCUUGUACACACCGCCCGUCACACCACGAAAGUUGGCAACACCCGAAGUCAGUGGCCCAACUCUUGAGA